This is an RNA transcript of Cariama cristata (Red-legged seriema), 609 nucleotides long. It is a transcript of the gene named protein AF-9 pseudogene, with no coding region annotated. The record is from RefSeq and is a predicted model, not a curated record. The transcript has a single exon. NCBI's taxonomy places the organism in Eukaryota, Metazoa, Chordata, Aves, Cariamiformes, Cariamidae.
GACCCAGCUAAGAUUCUGAACACAAAUAGCAGCAGCAGCAGUAGUAACAGUUUUUCAAAGACCCACAAGUUAACAAAGGAGCACAAGGAAAAAGCUUCUAAAGACUCAAAAGAACAUAAAAGUGCCUUCAAAGAACCUUCCAGGGAACACAACAAAUCUUCCAAAGAAUCCUCUAAGAAACCCAAAGAGAACAAGCCUCUAAAAGAUGAAAAAAUAGUUCCUAAGAUGGCCUUCAAGGAACCCAAACCCAUGUCCAAGGAGCCAAAAUCUGAAAACACCUCCAUCCUUACCAUAACAGGUGGGCAGCAGCAAGAAAAGAAGACCCCCACAAAAAGGCCCUCUGUUCUGGACUCUGAUGAACCUUCUGCAAAAAAAAGAAAAAAAAGUGGCUCGGAUUCAUUAUUUAAAAGCUUUUCUAGUGCCCCACCACUGAUUCUUACUUGUUCGGCUGACAAAAAGCAGACAAAGGAUAGAUCUCAACUCAAGGUGGGGAGAGUCAAAAUUGAAAAUGAUGCACUGGAAAGGAAGUCACUGACUCUGCCACCGUUUGAUGAUAUUGUAGAUCCUAGUGAUUCUGACAUGGAGGAAAACUUGUCCUCCAAAUCUGAA